GGGGACGUAAGGACCCCAGGGGAAACCUGGAUUAAGUACCGGAUGAGACGGGACCUGCGAUGGCGGGAUCCGGGAAAGGCGCUACGGCGCCGCCGGGGGAUGAGUCUGCGUCCCAUUAGCUAGACGGCGGGGUAACGGCCCACCGUGGCGACGAUGGGUAGCCGGCCUGAGAGGGUGGACGGCCACAUUGGAACUGAGACACGGUCCAGACUCCUACGGGAGGCAGCAGCUAAGAAUCUUCCGCAAUGGGCGAAAGCCUGACGGAGCCGACGCCGCGUGAACGAAGAAGGCCGUGAGGUUGUAAAGUUCUUUUCGGGAGGGGAACAACCGUGGCAGGGAAUGGCCGCGGGAUGACGUGAAUCCCGGAAUAAGCCCCGGCUAACUACGUGCCAGCCGCCGC
Molecule: ribosomal RNA, 400 nt
Filed under: uncultured bacterium
Lineage: Bacteria
Description: bacterial SSU rRNA
Rfam family: Bacterial small subunit ribosomal RNA
Source: RNAcentral